AAGGGAGUAAAAUUUAGAUUUUCCAAGAAAAGCAGCAACUUGACUCAAGAGAAUUACUUUCAGCUGGCUCACCUCUUGCUUAACCUGGUCCAGGAAAAUGGCAACGACCUCACCCUUCUUGACUUUCGGAAGGAGGAAGAUGAGAAUGGAAACAGUGCCUAUCUCACAGGGCUGUUGCCGGGAUGAGAUGAUCAGUGCUUGCCAUGAACCUGGAAUAAUGCCCAGCAUGGAAUUACUACAUUGACUCUUGCUAAAUGAUUAAACCUUCCAGGGAAUCCCAAACCCACGUGGUCAAAACUUC
Molecule: long non-coding RNA, 301 nt
Filed under: Cricetulus griseus (Chinese hamster)
Lineage: Eukaryota; Metazoa; Chordata; Mammalia; Rodentia; Cricetidae
Description: lncRNA (ENSCGRG00015030945.1)
Source: RNAcentral